Molecule: long non-coding RNA, 2963 nt
Filed under: Manihot esculenta (cassava)
Lineage: Eukaryota; Viridiplantae; Streptophyta; Magnoliopsida; Malpighiales; Euphorbiaceae
Description: long non-coding RNA (MESC_LNC009051)
Source: RNAcentral
AAAAAAAAAAACAAAAAAAAGGAAAAAGAAAAGGAAGAAAGAAGAAAAGACUAGAAGAGAAGAAGAACCAAUUUCUUCAAUCCUCCUUCCUCUGCCGUGAACCAAAACAAAAUCCCCUUCUCCAUCUUUUCUCUUCUACACCAAAAUUCCUUCAAAUUUCCAUCUCCAAUCACUUACCCAUCUUCUCCCAACACAUUUUCAAAGUAGAAUUUGAAGAAAAGAAGAGAAAUCAAAGAGAAAAUUCAAGAUUGAGGGAGAGUGAAUAGUAACCAAGGGUUUGGAAAUUUAAAGAUAUGUUAGGGGUUUUGAUGUAGGGAUGUUUCUUAUUAUUUUUAUAUGAAUAUUUAUGAAAAAUAUUGUAUUAAUAUGAUUUAUUGGUUUAUUUUUUUUCAUGAAGAAGAAGUGAAAGGGAAGAGUGGAAACUCUAAAGGAAAAGGAAAAGAAAAAGAAAAGGAAGAUUAGGAAAUUUUAAGCUUGUGGAAGAUUUUGAAAGGUUAAGGUUUGUGCUCAACUUUAUUUGAGUAAAUUUAAGAAUUUGUUAAUUAUGUUCUAUUUGAAAAUUUUACUACCCUAGUAGAAAUAGACCAAGUGAAUAAUAGUUUAAUUAUAUUGUAUAAUCCAAGUUUGAGAAAUAAUAGAUUGAAUAAAUAGAAAAUUUUAAAAUUCAUAUGUAAUUUAAACAAAAUUUAAGUGAUGGAUCUAAUGAAAUGACUCUAUUUUCUUUGAUAGAAAUAUAAUUUGGUUAGAUAUAGUAUUAAUAAAAAAAAUUUAGUAGACUAAAAAAAAGGAGAGAAAUUAGAUUAGAUGAAAAAAAAAACAUAAUAGAACUGACAGGAAUCAGAAAAGUGAGAUAUAGUGUAAAUAUGAUGUUUAAAAAUAAUAAUAAUUAAAAAAAGAAUAAUAGUUAAUUAAUUAAGGAUUAAAUUAUGAAUUUGUAAUUUAUGUAAUUGAAUUGAAUUCAUAGAUUCAUAUGAUAUGACAAUGUUUAAAAGUAAUGUUUAAAAGUAGAGUUAUAAUAUGAUACAAUAUUAUAGUUGAAGAAUUGAAAGUUAUACUGUAUUGGAAGUUUUUGUCCCCCUGUGUAAAUGUAUAAAUUAUUUAAAGUCUAGCCCUAGUAAGUUUGGUGGGAAUUGUGAGUUAGUUUAAGGGUGUGGCAUGCCAUAUACAGAUUUUGCAGUACUGCACUACAGUUACACUGAUUUUUAGGAUGCAAUAAGGUACCUGUAACGACCCGAAAAUCGGACCGCUACCGGCGCUAGGAUCCAGAUCGGCUUAAGGCCGUCGGGACCCGUAGCAAGCUUGACAUAUAACCUGUAAACCUGUAUAAUCCCAUACAUGAUCAACAACAUGCAUAAAAAUUUAAACUUUUCUUUCAUUCAUCCAACUCAACCUGAACAUAGUUACAAUCAUAAACAUGAUCCCUCUGUGGGAUCUCAUCAAUGCCCCAACGGGCGAUACAACAUGAGAGAGAACUGAAGAUGAUUGAGUUUGAGCAACUGAGGCAGUCAGAGCACAUGGGUGUAGAUGAGUUUUAAGAAUUUAUCCGUGAACUCCUCUACACCCAUGUGCUCUGACUGCCUCAGUUGCUCAAACUCAAUCAUCUUCAGUUCUCUGGAAUUGUCUGGAAAAGCCCAUCCAGCGAACUCAUUCGCAAAUUCUUCCCAUGUCAUACCGUCUAGUCUCGGGUCCACAUAACACUUGAACCAUUCCCGUGCCUUCUUGCACUUUAAAGUGAACCCUGCCAUCUGAAUGGCCCUGCUGUCACUUGCCCCUAGCUCAUCAGUUAUUGUCUUCACCACUCUCAGAUACUCAAAGGGGUCAUCCCCUGACUUGUAUUUGGGAGCAUCCAGCUUGAGGUAAUCUGUCAUCUAUAGGUACCCUACAGUUAUAGACUCAGCUUUUGAGCCAUACAAUUAUUUGGCACUUUGUGCCCUACAGUUACAGUUUCCUUAUCUGACUUAACAGUCCCAUUUAAAUUUAUAGGGGCCAACAGAAAAAUAAUAUAUAAAUAAAAAUACUAAGAGAAAAUAAAACUUUUUACAUGAUGAAGAAAAAGAAAAGGAUUAUGAAAUUAAAAUAUGUAUAUAUAUGUGAAUUAAUAAUAUGAUUUAGAUUAUUUCAAAUUAUUUGUUAUAUAGUUAUUUGUUAUUUGUUUGAAUUACUGUUAUUACCUGAAUUUUGAUUUAAAUGUUUUAUUUAUAAAAAAAAAAAUGAAGUUGAGUACCACUAAGCAAAUUGCUUAGCGCGUAUGAAUUUAUUUUUCCUCGCACAGGUUAUGGAUCCAAGUAGCAGUAGAUCAUGAUCUGCAUCAACCCAGCCAGAAUUACAUCAUUAACUAUCUUGGGAUAUAUUUUGUAAAUUUUUAUAUGAAUUUGAUUUUAGAAAUAUGGCAUGUACAUAAAGUUUUAGAGAUGAAGUUGUAUAUGGUUGGUUUAGAUAUAUUUGAAGAUUUUAAUUUUGAUGUAAAUAUGGAUUAUUAGAAUAAAUUUUAUAUUGAGAUUUAUGAGAUGGUUUAUGAAGUAUUUGAUCUGAGCUGAAAUUGUGUUGAUGUUAAAAGAAGUUUGGGGGUUAAGGUUGAAGUUUAUAGAAGUGUGAUAUUACUAUUCACAUGUGGAUUUAAGUCAUAUUUCAGGGAAAACUUUGCCGGAUUUUCGGUUAAACAAAAAAAAAAAGGAAAAAAGCCAUGGUUUACAUGAUAUAAAUUAAAGUAAAAAUAAGAAAACUGUUAUAAAAUGUGAUGUCUCCGGCUCGGUUAAUUAAAUAACCGGGUAGGGGGUGUUAUAAGAAUGGCAGGCCACUAAAGUCCGGUCGAAAGAGCAAACCACCAAUGUCAAACCUUCUAAAAGGAAACCCACCAAUAUCAGGGAUAAAAUUCACUCCAUUAGUUCGAUCUAUGAUAAGUCGUGCAAUUCAACUGAUCGCACCUCCCUUCGAAGUUCAUAAGUGCCUGCCAAAUAAACAAA